GUCUUUUGAGUAUGAAAUUAGUACACUUGCCUUCCAAGCAAGAAGUUUAAAUAGAACUUUAAAAAAGAUA
This 70-nucleotide transfer RNA is filed under the name Cymbiola pulchra. RNAcentral's name for it is "tRNA-Gly". Lineage: Eukaryota; Metazoa; Mollusca; Gastropoda; Neogastropoda; Volutidae. The record is from RNAcentral.